UACGGAGGGGGCUAGCGUUGUUCGGAAUUACUGGGCGUAAAGCGUACGUAGGCGGCUUUGUAAGUUAGCGGUGAAAUCCUGGAGCUCAACUCCAGAAUUGCCGUUAAGACUGCAUCGCUUGAAUCCAGGAGAGGUGAGUGGAAUUCCGAGUGUAGAGGUGAAAUUCGUAGAUAUUCGGAAGAACACCAGUGGCGAAGGCGGCUCGCUGGACUGGUAUUGACGCUGAGGUGCGAAAGCGUGGGGAGCAAACAGG
This 253-nucleotide ribosomal RNA is filed under the name uncultured bacterium. RNAcentral describes it as "partial 16S ribosomal RNA". It matches the Rfam family "Bacterial small subunit ribosomal RNA", at positions 524 to 776 of the family's 1533-position model. The record is from RNAcentral.